UGGGGAAUAUUGCACAAUGGGCGCAAGCCUGAUGCAGCCAUGCCGCGUGUAUGAAGAAGGCCUUCGGGUUGUAAAGUACUUUCAGCGGGGAGGAAGGGAGUAAAGUUAAUACCUUUGCUCAUUGACGUUACCCGCAGAAGAAGCACCGGCUAACUCCGUGCCAGCAGCCGCGGUAAUACGGAGGGUGCAAGCGUUAAUCGGAAUUACUGGGCGUAAAGCGCACGCAGGCGGUUUGUUAAGUCAGAUGUGAAAUCCCCGGGCUCAACCUGGGAUCUGCAUCUGAUACUGGCAAGCUUGAGUCUCGUAGAGGGGGGUAGAAUUCCAGGUGUAGCGGUGAAAUGCGUAGAGAUCUGGAGGAAUUCCGGUGGCGAAGGCGGCCCCCUGGACGAAGACUGACGCUCAGGUGCGAAAGCGUGGGGAGCAAACAGG
RNAcentral lists this ribosomal RNA (429 nucleotides) under Chloroflexota bacterium. RNAcentral's name for it is "Chloroflexi bacterium partial 16S ribosomal RNA". It matches the Rfam family "Bacterial small subunit ribosomal RNA", at positions 355 to 776 of the family's 1533-position model. Lineage: Bacteria; Bacillati; Chloroflexota. The record is from RNAcentral.